AGAUUGAACGCUGGCGGCAUGCCUUACACAUGCAAGUCGAGCGGCAGCGCGGGGGCAACCCUGGCGGCGAGCGGCGAACGGGUGAGUAAUACAUCGGAACGUGUCCAGUAGCGGGGGAUAACCUGUCGAAAGAUAGGCUAAUACCGCAUACGACCUACGGGUGAAAGCGGGGGACCGCAAGGCCUCGCACUAUUGGAGCGGCCGAUGUCGGAUUAGCUAGUUGGCGGGGUAACGGCCCACCAAGGCGACGAUCCGUAGCUGGUCUGAGAGGACGACCAGCCACACUGGAACUGAGACACGGUCCAGACUCCUACGGGAGGCAGCAGUGGGGAAUUUUGGACAAUGGGCGCAAGCCUGAUCCAGCCAUGCCGCGUGAGUGAAGAAGGCCUUCGGGUUGUAAAGCUCUUUCGGCGGGGACGAAACGGUCCGUGACAACACCACGGACUAAUGACGGUACUCGCAGAAGAAGCACCGGCUAACUACGUGCCAGCAGCCGCGGUAAUACGUAGGGUGCGGGCGUUAAUCGGAAUUACUGGGCGUAAAGCGUGCGCAGGCGGCUCCUUAAGUCAGAUGUGAAAUCCCCGGGCUUAACCUGGGAACUGCGUUUGAAACUGAGGGGCUUGAGUGUGGAAGAGGGGGGUGGAAUUCCAGGUGUAGCAGUGAAAUGCGUAGAGAUGUGGAGGAACACCGAUGGCGGAGGCAGCCCCCUGGGUCAACACUGACGCUCAGGCACGAAAGCGUGGGGAGCAAACAGGAUUAGAUACCCUGGUAGUCCACGCCCUAAACGAUGCGAACUAGGUGUUGGGGAAGGAGACUUCCUUAGUACCGCAGCUAACGCGUGAAGUCGC
Molecule: ribosomal RNA, 848 nt
Filed under: uncultured bacterium
Lineage: Bacteria
Description: bacterial SSU rRNA
Rfam family: Bacterial small subunit ribosomal RNA
Source: RNAcentral